GAUUUAUAUUCAUAUUUUACCAUGGAAGUGCAAAGCUAUUUUGCAAAAAAACAAGCAUUUAAUGCAUUAAAACACAUUAUUAACCUUUUCAUUAAAAGGAAAGUUGACUGACACAGUCACAGACAACAAUUAUGCCAAGUGGAACAACUUGACCCAAUCGUAAUAAUUCGGCCACCUCCAACAAGCUUCGAGAAAAUACAAUCGUAACAACUCGGCCUUGGCCGAACAAUCUGAACACCUCAGCCAGUAUCCAACAGGGAUUGACUAUCUCGAAGCUUACCGAAGAUGGCGAGUUGUUACAAUUGAUGGCUCAAAUGUUCCGAUUGUUGUAAAAUUGUGAACUGCAGCCUUGCAGGUGCCCUUCAUGUAUAUAUUGUUAUGUUUUGACAGAAUGAAAUGAAGAAAAAACCAUCAAACUCAUAAUUAUUUGCUUGAUAUUACUUUUUGGUUACGGAAUUUAUAUAAAAUAACAUUAUCUGGUAAUAUUUCUUGUUUUUAUGAUACGUUAUAGAUGCAAUAUGCUUUAACCCGGAAUCCCGAUCGGAAUAACUACCCACUUUUCAUACAAAACAAUUUGUACGUGAAGGAUUUGCUGUAUCAAAAAUCGUAAAAAAAUCUGUCAACAUACAAUUAUUUGGACUAGAAGGUACAUCUAGCUGAUCUACAUCUCUUAGUCUAAAUAUUUGUACGUUGACGGACUCUUUUUACGAUUAAAAAAAAAUGUAUACAUAUAUAUAUAUAUAUAUAUAUAUGGCAAAUCCUUCACUACAACAUGUUCAUGUUACUUUCAAUUCAGAGUUGAUUAUUCACUAAAAUUAUUUCGGAUUUUAAUUGUUGUUUAACCUGAAACGUCUCAACCAUCAAAAAAGAACAUAUAUGCUUCAAUAGUCUAAAAAAAUAGACGUGUUGUAUGGGAUUCUUCCAAUCCCUUAUGUCUUAUCGGGUUUGUGCAAAACAGGGUGGGGGUUGAAAGAUAUUGAAAUCGUAGUUAGAUAAGUAUUAUAUGUUUGAAAUAGAUAUUAAAGGUUUAUAUUCGUAUUUUAGUUAUUACCAUGUAAGUGCAAAGAUUUUUUUCACAAAACAAGCAUUUAAUGCAUUUAAACACGACCAUUUUACAUCUAUGUAAAUCUAUGCACCGCAGCCUUGCAGGUGAUCUUCAUGUACAACAGUUUAUAUCAUUAUGUUUUGACAGUAUGAAAUGAAGAAAAACACUCAUCAAACUCAUAAUAAUUCGUCAGCUUUUAUUUUUUGUGUACAUAAUUCAUAUUUUAGAUAUAUAUAAUUAUCUGACCCGGAAUCCCAAUCGGAAUAGCUACCCACUUUUGGUGCAAAAAAAUUGUAUGUGAAGGAUAUGCCAUUUCAAAAUUUGUAAAAAGAUCAGUUAAGUUACUAUUAUAUGGACUAGUGCUUCAAGUGUUUGAUUUAUUGUCUCUAUAAUGUAUAAUGCACCUGUCAAUUGUAGAGCCAAGCUGGGAGCUGCCUAAAAAUCAGUUACCCAGUUAGCUCAGUUUGACAGAUCUCCAUGCAAGUGUUCACAUGGUCGUGGGUUCAAGCACCAUACCAGUAGCAUCUUUUCUCAAAGGUUUACUUUAGAACCCAUCAUCCAGGAGUAAACAAUUAUGAUUUUUUUAUUAAAUAUUACAGGCCAUGUUCUUUUGUAAACUUUCAGAUUGAGAAGUGCCUGGAUACAAGGCUAGUAUUGUUAACAUCAUCUGAUACAAUCAACUGGAACAAAGCUGAAAUGGCUGCCUGACCUGACUUAAAAAUUGGAUGGCAGUACAUCAGACUAGAAGAUUACAAGUAUUGAGGUGGACAAAAUGAAACCUGAGCCUACCAAAGCUGACAGAUUGCACAAGAAACACAUAAAUGCAGAUUGGAAGAUUCAUUCUCUGGAAAGUAGAAAGGGGCAUGUUACAUACUGUUAUCACUGCCAUGACAGAAACCAUAUUGAGGAGCUGGUCCACCUGUAGGAAGAAUUGCACUAUUGGUUGGAGCAGCACUAUUACCCAGCCAUACACCAGCACUUAGUUUGUCAUAGGGAGCAUUUCUGAGCAGUUAUGGAGACCACUAACUAUGCAGUUGUUGCAGUGAAACUUGCACCAGUGUGUUUUCUGUGGAGAUAAAGAGAUAGUGUCCAGCAAUGAAGACCCAACUCAAGAUCUGACCUUGUAAGGCCAAUAUGAAAUAACUGUGUGGGAAAAUGGGAAAAACCUGCAGUCAGGAAUGCACGGAAAUCAUCAAAAGAACAGUGUUAAAUUAAUCUUGAAUAACUUGACAUUUAUUUUGUUUGACAUAUUUAUUCAUGGUGCAGUGAAAACAUUCUUUUUUUCUCAUGGUUAUUUAAAUUUAGAAUUGAUAGGAGGGAACAUCACUAUGUAGUUUCAUGUUCAUAGUCAGAUCAAAACCCAUGUACAUGCCCAAAUGAGCAUUCGAAAAUAUCAAAAUGAUACUUGUUGUAUUUAGUGUAAG
Molecule: long non-coding RNA, 2469 nt
Organism: Mya arenaria
Lineage: Eukaryota; Metazoa; Mollusca; Bivalvia; Myida; Myidae
Exons: 3
Source: RefSeq, a predicted model, not a curated record